This 913-nucleotide small RNA is filed under the name Pongo abelii (Sumatran orangutan). RNAcentral describes it as "retained intron". The record is from RNAcentral. Lineage: Eukaryota; Metazoa; Chordata; Mammalia; Primates; Hominidae.
UUUUUUUUUUUUUUUUUUUUUUUUGGUCACAUACCUGAAAGCUGACUUUACUUAUAAAGAGUGCUUAAACUCUCUGGAGAACUACUUCCUUGGUUUUUCAUGGGAGCAAAUAUAUUGUCCUGAUAGACAAUAUAUGUUCAGGACGGGCAUAGAUAUUCCUGUUCAGAACAGGCAUAUUCUCUCCCCAUUCAGGAAGUUGGUGGGUUUUCAGCAUGUGAAUAUUGACUGUGUUGUCUUUUCUAAUUUUUUACUUACUACUUGUUUUUCCUCUUCUUCCACAGCAAUCAAUCAAUAAGAACAAGUCCCAGGACUUCAGACUAGGCUCAGAAUCUAUGACACAUUCUGAAAUGAGCAAACAACAGAGCCAUGAGGACCAAGGACACAUAAUGGAUACACAGAUGAGGAAGAACAAGCAAGCAGGCCGAAAAGUCACUCUAAUAGAGUAAAGAAUUGAAGAAAAGUUAAGAGAUGCCCAAAUGCACAGAGGUGAAAAUGACAAAUUAAGCCAAAUGGAAUUUCUCUUCGGAGUUCAGAAUUUUCAGAUACUAAGAAGGAAGAAAGGAUCCACUACUUCUUGUUCUUAUGAAUGACUCUAGAAAAAUCAGAAUCAAGUUGUGGGUGGAAAAAUCAAUGUGGCCUUUGAGUUCAGUUGUUAUAAACCAUUGUGAUUGUUGUUGGUCAAAGUAUUGGUACUUAUAUUGUUAGUAAUUGCAUCAUAAUUACAUUACCAGUGUUGGAAAACUAAUGAAGAAAACACUGUAACUGCUACUCAGCAAAUGUGAAUAAAAGGUGUUUGCAUUGUUAGGAUGUCUGUUAAGUAAUCAUUUAAUAUUAUUAUAUUGGUAAUGUGGUUAUAUGUGUGAUGUUAUGCCCAGAAUAUGAAGUAUCUGUUUUUGAAAUUCACUUUAUUUAA